RNAcentral lists this long non-coding RNA (1563 nucleotides) under Canis lupus familiaris (dog). Its description in RNAcentral is "lncRNA (ENSCAFG00040004494.1)". Lineage: Eukaryota; Metazoa; Chordata; Mammalia; Carnivora; Canidae. The record is from RNAcentral.
CAGAGGGGCAAGGAAGAUCACAUAUCUAGUAAAUGGUAAUGUUGGGGUGUAAGUGCAGGUCUGGGUGCCUCCAAAGCCCAUGCUCUUCCCUGUCCAGGAUGGGAAUUGGAAGAGCAACAGCAGCAAUGUUAGCAGGGGCCCCCAACCAAGCCAAGCAUCACUACCACCAGAGAGUGCUAAAGGAGUGAUAUCAGCCUUCAUGGAUCACAAAUUUCUCCUUGCUUGAAGUCCCCCUACCCCUCCCCACACACAUGUAGCUACAGUAUGCCUUCCAGUAUCUGGCACCAAGUGCAGAGGUUCUGUGUGCAGAUGCUGAAGCCCAACACUCUCCUCUGACUAGCCUUGUAACGUUGGGCAGGUUUCUCAACCUCCCUGUGCCUCAGUUUCCUCAUCUUUAAAAUGGAGAAAAUAACUGUUCCCCCUGUACUGAGUUGUUCUGAGAGUUAAAUAAUUAUACCUACAUGUAGGGCACUCAAAUAGCGCCUGAGGUGUGACAAGAUGUAAAAACAUUAUAUAUUGUCACAGUGGCUUUGUUUCCACGUGGCAUUCUAUUCUGUGUGUCAUUUAUCACCCUUUCAUAGUUAUUGAUAAAGCAAAAGCUCUUUUUACCCUGGAUAUUCUCAUCUUUCUGUCUACUCUUUUAAAAUAAUAUCUGCAAUUUAGUAAUUGAAAGCAAAGCACCAUCAUGAGUGAAUGGACCAUAUACUAGGUGAUUAUUCUUAUGUAUUUAGGGUUUUCUAGGAGGAACAUUCUAUUUGUUUUUAACACACAACUAAAACCUGCUACACCCUUUUUCUGAGUCAGGUUAAUUGAAAACACAAUUUGCUUACAAACUGAACUCACAUUUUUCAAAAGUAUAUAAUUUGAUCAUGUGAUCAUCUCAGUCACCAAGAUAUGGACCAUUGACAUCACCCCAAAUUGUUCCUUGGUGCUCAUUACGAUCACCUUUUGAGACUCAUCUCUGCUUACCAUCUUCUGCAUAGUUUUUUUUUUUUUUAAGAUUUUAUUCAUUUAUUCAUGAGAGACACACAGAGACAGAGACACAGGCAAAGGGAGAAGUAGGCUCCCUGCAGGGAGCCUGAUGUGGGACUCAAUCCCAGGACUCUGGGACCAUGACCUGAGCCAAAGGUAGGUGCUCAACCACUGAGCCACUCAGGUACCCCCAUCUUCUGCAGUCUUCAGGCUGUGGCAAAGCAAAAUAACUCAGAAUUACCCCUCAUGCACCAUGCUAUCUUUGAUCACCAGGCCUUUGUUCUUACUCUUCCCUCACCAAGUCCAGCUUCACCCGCUUUCUGACCUAGGUGACUCCCACUUCUCUUUCAAGCUUCUGUUGUCACCCCCUCUGCUCUCCGCAGUCUAGGUCAAUGCCCUUGCCAGAGGGGCCCCCAUCACCUUGGGCCUCUCUCUCCAACUCUUUUACAUGUGACAGCCCCUCACUGGACCGUCACUCAGGGAGAUGGCAGGGACCUGUUUCCCAGGCUCUAGCCUGAUGGUGGGCACUGAGCAGACAGGCCCUGGAGGUGCACUGUACCACGAGGUCUCUGCUGCCAUGAGAGUCUGUGU